UAGACCUGUUGCAAAGUUGUUCCAACAAGUCCGACGCAGUCAUGAUAUAAAAAUAUUGUUACAACCUUGUGUCGUCAACCUUGUAACAUUCUUGUUAUAUCAUGACUGUAUCAGACUUGUUAAAACAACCUUGUAACAAGUCUG
Paramuricea clavata is the source of this 144-nucleotide non-coding RNA. The record is from the annotation of a GenBank genome assembly. NCBI's taxonomy places the organism in Eukaryota, Metazoa, Cnidaria, Anthozoa, Malacalcyonacea, Plexauridae.